UAGGGAAUCUUCGGCAAUGGACGAAAGUCUGACCGAGCAACGCCGCGUGAGUGAAGAAGGUUUUCGGAUCGUAAAACUCUGUUGGUAGAGAAGAACGUUGGUGAGAGUGGAAAGCUCAUCAAGUGACGGUAACUACCCAGAAAGGGACGGCUAACUACGUGCCAGCAGCCGCGGUAAUACGUAGGUCCCGAGCGUUGUCCGGAUUUAUUGGGCGUAAAGCGAGCGCAGGUGGUUUAUUAAGUCUGGUGUAAAAGGCAGUGGCUCAACCAUUGUAUGCAUUGGAAACUGGUAGACUUGAGUGCAGGAGAGGAGAGUGGAAUUCCAUGUGUAGCGGUGAAAUGCGUAGAUAUAUGGAGGAACACCGGUGGCGAAAGCGGCUCUCUGGCCUGUAACUGACACUGAGGCUCGAAAGCGUGGGGAGCAAACAGGAUUAGAUACCCUGGUAGUCCACGCCGUAAACGAUGAGUGCUAGAUGUAGGGAGCUAUAAGUUCUCUGUAUCGCAGCUAACGCAAUAAGCACUCCGCCUGGGGAGUACGACCGCAAGGUUGAA
This 551-nucleotide ribosomal RNA is filed under the name uncultured bacterium. RNAcentral's name for it is "partial 16S ribosomal RNA". It matches the Rfam family "Bacterial small subunit ribosomal RNA", at positions 355 to 898 of the family's 1533-position model. The record is from RNAcentral.